This 508-nucleotide ribosomal RNA is filed under the name Cosmocephalus jaenschi. RNAcentral's name for it is "partial large subunit ribosomal RNA". Lineage: Eukaryota; Metazoa; Nematoda; Chromadorea; Rhabditida; Acuariidae. The record is from RNAcentral.
ACUCUGAGACAGAGUUAAGGAGGACGUGAAACCGCUGGGAUGGAAACGAAUAGAGUUGACGAAACCUACCGUCAUUCAACCGAUCAACUCAGCGGUCUUCUAUCAUUUGUACCGGACGCAUCGCCUUGUGCGUAAUGUGUGAUGGACAAUGAUAGAUUGAUGCUGUUGAGUAGUGUUUUAAAUAGCUGUGUGAUCGGUGCAUUUGAUGGUGGUACGCGCCGAGAGUCGCGUUAUUGUACGACAAAGCAUUUUUGGUAGUGGACCGAGUGAUUGAUUCACUCGGAAACCUACCAAUGUGGAAGCGUAUCGAUUGAUGCGAUUGCAAUUGCAACUUUCGCGCAUAUGAAAAUAUGUGUGCGUUAUUGUAUCUGCUCAAUUUAUACAUGCACAAAAUGAUCGCUUGCGUAUUGUUUGUGUUUUUAAUAAUGCAUAAAUUGAGUGAUAUAUAACGCGUUGAGGUUGUUUCUCGGUGUGAGCGUCGAUCACCUAUUCGACCCGUCUUGAAACA